This 305-nucleotide ribosomal RNA is filed under the name uncultured bacterium. RNAcentral describes it as "bacterial SSU rRNA". It matches the Rfam family "Bacterial small subunit ribosomal RNA", at positions 335 to 633 of the family's 1533-position model. The record is from RNAcentral.
AUCUUACGGGGGGCAGCAGUGGGGGAUAUUGCACAAUGGGGGGAACCCUGAUGCAGCGACGCCGCGUGGGUGAAGAAGGUCUUCGGAUCGUAAAACCCUGUUGUUAGAGAAGAAAGUGCGUGAGAGUAACUGUUCACGUUUCGACGGUAUCUAACCAGAAAGCCACGGCUAACUACGUGCCAGCAGCCGCGGUAAUACGUAUGGUGCAAGCGUUAUCCGGAUUUACUGGGUGUAAAGGGAGCGUAGGCGGCGCGUUAAGUCUGAUGUGAAAACCCGAGGCUCAACCACGGGAGUGCAUUGGAAAC